CAUCCCAUAUCCCCACCGAUACAAUCCUCUUUCUCGGUGCACAACAACAGCGAUGACGAAGACAACAACCAAGAAAGAAACAUAGGGGAGAGGCGUAGACACCUGCUUUGAGGGUUUGGCUUUGUUCCCCAUCUGUCUUGAUGCCCAUCUGAAUUCUCUCCGAGCCUUCCUCGACUGUAUCUUUUUUCUCUCUCCCUCUCUCUCUUUCUAUCCCUCUUUCAUUCAUUGAAAGCUCCAUUGGUGCUUCUUCCAUGUAAUUCCAAAAGAGGCAUUUAAUUUCUUCGACAAGCUUGAAUAUUUUAAGAGUUGCCCACAAACCCACGCAACCUCAGCUCUCAGGGUAUUUGAGGUGAAAGAGUAUUGCUUUCUGGGUUGUUUGUAUUCCUUCAGUGAUUUUAAGACUUGGGUAGCUGAGGUUAAUGGUAUAUACUUCUUGGUCUGUGUCUAUGAUUAUAUGAUUUCGGCAUUUGAGGUUGAGCAGCAUUGGCAUCUG
This is a long non-coding RNA of Carya illinoinensis, 493 nucleotides long. RefSeq lists it as uncharacterized. The transcript has 2 exons. The record is from RefSeq and is a predicted model, not a curated record. Lineage: Eukaryota; Viridiplantae; Streptophyta; Magnoliopsida; Fagales; Juglandaceae.